GACGAACGCUGGCGGCGUGCUUAACACAUGCAAGUCGAACGGAAAGGCCCUGCUUGCAGGGUACUCGAGUGGCGAACGGGUGAGUAACACGUGGGUGAUCUGCCCUGCACUUCGGGAUAAGCCUGGGAAACUGGGUCUAAUACCGGAUAGGAGCCAUUUUUAGUGUGAUGGUUGGAAAGUUUUUUCGGUGUAGGAUGAGCUCGCGGCCUAUCAGCUUGUUGGUGGGGUAUGGCCUACCAAGGCGGCGACGGGUAGCCGGCCUGAGAGGGUGGACGGCCACAUUGGGACUGAGAUACGGCCCAGACUCCUACGGGAGGCAGCAGUGGGGAAUAUUGCACAAUGGGCGCAAGCCUGAUGCAGCGACGCCGCGUGGGGGAUGACGGCCUUCGGGUUGUAAACUCCUUUCGCUAGGGACGAAGCUUUUUGUGACGGUACCUAGAGAAGAAGCACCGGCUAACUACGUG
RNAcentral lists this ribosomal RNA (464 nucleotides) under uncultured bacterium. RNAcentral's name for it is "partial 16S ribosomal RNA". It matches the Rfam family "Bacterial small subunit ribosomal RNA", at positions 28 to 507 of the family's 1533-position model. The record is from RNAcentral.